UACGAAGGGGGCUAGCGUUGCUCGGAAUCACUGGGCGUAAAGCGCACGUAGGCGGAUUGCUAAGUCAGGGGUGAAAUCCUGGAGCUCAACUCCAGAACUGCCUUCGAUACUGGCAAUCUCGAGUCCGGGAGAGGUGAGUGGAACUGCGAGUGUAGAGGUGAAAUUCGUAGAUAUUCGCAAGAACACCAGUGGCGAAGGCGGCUCACUGGCCCGGUACUGACGCUGAGGUGCGAAAGCGUGGGGAGCAAACAGG
This 253-nucleotide ribosomal RNA is filed under the name uncultured bacterium. RNAcentral describes it as "partial 16S ribosomal RNA". It matches the Rfam family "Bacterial small subunit ribosomal RNA", at positions 524 to 776 of the family's 1533-position model. The record is from RNAcentral.